This 786-nucleotide ribosomal RNA is filed under the name uncultured bacterium. RNAcentral's name for it is "bacterial SSU rRNA". It matches the Rfam family "Bacterial small subunit ribosomal RNA", at positions 8 to 790 of the family's 1533-position model. The record is from RNAcentral.
AGAGUUUGAUCAUGGCUCAGGAUGAACGCUGGCGGCGUGCCUAACACAUGCAAGUCGAGCGGGGUUUACGGAGCAGCUUGCUGCACUGUAACCUAGCGGCGGACGGGUGAGUAACGCGUGGGCAACCUGCCUUACACAGGGGGAUACACUGGGAAACUAGUGCUAAUACCGCAUAACAUCAUUUUAUGGCAUCAUGAGAUGAUCAAAGGAGCAAUCCGGUGUAAGAUGGGCCCGCGUCCGAUUAGCUAGUUGGUGAGGUAACGGCUCACCAAGGCAGCGAUCGGUAGCCGAACUGAGAGGUUGGUCGGCCACAUUGGGACUGAGACACGGCCCAGACUCCUACGGGAGGCAGCAGUGGGGAAUAUUGCGCAAUGGGGGGAACCCUGACGCAGCAACGCCGCGUGAAGGAUGAAGGCCUUCGGGUUGUAAACUUCUUUGAUUGGGGAAGAAAUUUGACGGUACCCAAAGAACAAGCCACGGCUAACUACGUGCCAGCAGCCGCGGUAAUACGUAGGUGGCGAGCGUUGUCCGGAAUUACUGGGUGUAAAGGGCGUGUAGGCGGGGAUGCAAGUCAGAUGUGAAAUUCCGGGGGCUCAACCCCGGGCACUGCAUCCGAAACUGUGUCUCUUGAGUGCUGGAGAGGGAAGUGGAAUUCCUAGUGUAGCGGUGAAAUGCGUUAGAGAUUAGGAGGAACACCCAGUGGCCAAAGGCGACUUUUCUGGACAGUAACUGACGCUUAAGGCCCGAGAAGCCUGGGGGAGCAAAACACGGAUUAAAUACCCCUGG